AUGUGAAGCGAACGCGGUGAACUGAAACAUCUAAGUAACCGCAGGAAAAGAAAUCAACCGAGAUUCCCAAAGUAGUGGCGAGCGAAAUGGGAUGAGCCUUGUACUCUUUAUUUGUAUUGUUAGCCGAACGCUCUGGAAAGUGCGGCCAUAGCAGGUGAUAGCCCUGUAGGCGAAAACAGUAUGAAAGAACUAGGUGUACGACAAGUAGGGCGGGACACGUGAAAUCCUGUCUGAAGAUGGGGGGACCAUCCUCCAAGGCUAAAUACUCGUGAUCGACCGAUAGUGAACCAGUACCGUGAGGGAAAGGCGAAAAGAACCCCGGGAGGGGAGUGAAAUAGAUCCUGAAACCGCAUGCAUACAAACAGUCGGAGCCUCGUAAGGGGUGACGGCGUACCUUUUGUAUAAUGGGUCAGCGACUUACGUUCAGUAGCAAGCUUAACCGUAUAGGGCAGGCGUAGCGAAAGCGAGUCCGAAUAGGGCGUUCAGUUGCUGGGCGUAGACCCGAAACCAGGUGAUCUAUCCAUGGCCAGGAUGAAGGUGCGGUAACACGUACUGGAGGUCCGAACCCACUAACGUUGAAAAGUUAGGGGAUGAGCUGUGGAUAGGGGUGAAAGGCUAAACAAACCUGGAAAUAGCUGGUUCUCUCCGAAAACUAUUUAGGUAGUGCCUCGUGUCUCACCUUCGGGGGUAGAGCACUGUCAUGGUUGGGGGGUCUAUUGCAGAUUACCCCGCCAUAGCAAACUCCGAAUACCGAAGAGUGCAAUCACGGGAGACAGACAUCGGGUGCUAACGUCCGGUGUCAAGAGGGAAACAACCCAGACCGCCAGCUAAGGUCCCCAAAUAUGGCUAAGUGGGAAACGAAGUGGGAAGGCUAAAACAGUCAGGAGGUUGGCUUAGAAGCAGCCACCCUUUAAAGAAAGCGUAAUAGCUCACUGAUCGAGUCGUCCUGCGCGGAAGAUGUAACGGGGCUAAGCCAUAUACCGAAGCUGCGGAUGCGUGCUUGCACGCAUGGUAGGAGAGCGUUCCGUAAGCCUGCGAAGGUGCCUUGUAAAGGGUGCUGGAGGUAUCGGAAGUGCGAAUGCUGACAUGAGUAGCGAUAAAGGGGGUGAAAGGCCCCCUCGCCGUAAGCCCAAGGUUUCCUACGCAACGUUCAUCGGCGUAGGGUGAGUCGGCCCCUAAGGCGAGGCAGAAAUGCGUAGCUGAUGGGAAGCAGGUCAAUAUUCCUGCACCAUUGUUAGAUGCGAUGGGGGGACGGAUCGCGGAAGGUUGUCCGGGUGUUGGACGUCCCGGUCGCUGCAUUGGAGAAGGCGCUUAGGCAAAUCCGGGCGCAGGAUUCAAGGGUGUGGCGCGAGCGACUUCG
RNAcentral lists this ribosomal RNA (1360 nucleotides) under Burkholderia multivorans. RNAcentral's name for it is "partial 23S ribosomal RNA". It matches the Rfam family "Bacterial large subunit ribosomal RNA", at positions 172 to 1581 of the family's 2925-position model. Lineage: Bacteria; Pseudomonadati; Pseudomonadota; Betaproteobacteria; Burkholderiales; Burkholderiaceae. The record is from RNAcentral.